Molecule: ribosomal RNA, 263 nt
Filed under: uncultured archaeon
Lineage: Archaea
Description: partial 16S ribosomal RNA
Rfam family: Archaeal small subunit ribosomal RNA
Source: RNAcentral
CAGCCGUAAACAAUGUGCGUUAGGUGUGUCGGUAACCACGCGUUACUGAUGCGCCGAAGAGAAAUCGUGAAACGCACCACCUGGGAAGUACGGUCGCAAAGGCUGAAACUUAAAGGGAAUUGGCGGGGGAGCACCACAACAGGUGGAGCCUGCGGUUUAAUUGGAUUCAACGCCGGACAUCUCACCGGAUAAGACAGCUGAAUGAUUGUCAAUCUGAAGGUUUUACAUGACUAGCUGAGAGGUGGUGCAUGGCGUCAGUGACU